This 497-nucleotide ribosomal RNA is filed under the name uncultured bacterium. RNAcentral describes it as "partial 16S ribosomal RNA". It matches the Rfam family "Bacterial small subunit ribosomal RNA", at positions 28 to 507 of the family's 1533-position model. The record is from RNAcentral.
GAUGAACGCUGGCGGCGUGCCUAAUACAUGCAAGUCGAGCGAACGGGCGAGAAGCUUGCUUCUCUGAUGUUAGCGGCGGACGGGUGAGUAACACGUGGAUAACCUACCUAUAAGACUGGGAUAACUUCGGGAAACCGGAGCUAAUACCGGAUAAUAUUUUGAACCGCAUGGUUCAAAAGUGAAAGACGGUCUUGCUGUCACUUAUAGAUGGAUCCGCGCUGCAUUAGCUAGUUGGUAAGGUAACGGCUUACCAAGGCAACGAUGCAUAGCCGACCUGAGAGGGUGAUCGGCCACACUGGAACUGAGACACGGUCCAGACUCCUACGGGAGGCAGCAGUAGGGAAUCUUCCGCAAUGGGCGAAGGCCUGACGGAGCAACGCCGCGUGAGUGAUGAAGGUCUUCGGAUCGUAAAACUCUGUUAUUAGGGAAGAACAUAUGUGUAAGUAACUGUGCACAUCUUGACGGUACCUAAUCAGAAAGCCACGGCUAACUACGUG